UUUCAUACAACAUGCCGAGACUUUCUGAUGCCUGAUUGAUAUUUCCUUCAAUCCUCAUUGCUUCCCUUAUCUAACCAACAAAUUUAUGCCUCGCCCGACCCCCAUCAACGCAUUGUUGGAUUAGUGUCUAAGUCCAUAACUAUUUUGGUAUGUACUUGACCUGAUGGUGCAUGGUCCUUUUAGGUUGCCUUCACCAAAGCAACUUGAUAGGAUGAAUUAUGGAGAGAAAGGAUUAAAUAUGAUUUAUUAAUAUAUUAUGAGAAUAAUAUAUUAAAGGAGAAAUCAUAUUGUUUAAUUAAUAUUAGUCAAGAAUUAAUUAGUAAUUAGUUUUGUGACUAAAAGAGAUUAAUUAAACUUAAGGGACUGGAAUUGUAAUUAUAAGAUAAUUACAAUUGGGCCAUGGAUUCCCUUAUAUUAAGGAGUGGACGAAUUCUAUGGUGAAGCCCAUAAGAAAUCGUCCAAGUCCUUAAGGAAAGGGGUCCAUGGGUUGCUUAGGGCUUAAGCAUCCAAUUUAGGGUUUCCUUGUUAGAUAACCCUAAUAGUCAAACUAUAUAUACAUCCCUUAUGACCCAAAAACGUGGCUAAGACUUAUUCUAGGGUUUCACACGUUUUAGGGCAGCCUCCUUCAUCUCUCCUCCUCAUCCUCUUGCUCGUGGUGUUUGUGAACCAUUAGAUGAGUGAUAUUUGUGACUCUAAGCUUUCUAAAGUCAUUAGAAGGAGGAAUUAUGAUUGUUAUUGCUACAUAACAAUCAAGGUAAUAUCUUAAAUCCAUUCUUAUGUUAAUAUGAUUACUUGUAUGCUAGAAUUAGGGUUUAUAGUCUUGGAUAACUUGCAUGUACAAUAGAGAAACCUAGAUCCAAGCAUUAGGGUUUGUAUGAGCACAUAGGAUGUUCUUAGGACCAAAACCCAUCAGUGGUAUCAGAGCCUAGAUUGGUUUCUAUUGUAUUGAUGCUUGGUAUGUUGAAAAAAAUUUGAUUUUUGUGUUUCUGGGGGCUGAACUCGCCGAGUUUUUUAGAUGAACUCGCCGAGUUCAUGCUAACUCGACGAGUCCAUGCCUGACUCGACGAGUCGGCUGGUCAGAAUGAGGGAAAACCGGGAUUUCUUGCUGUUUUUGCUUGAGGAUACUUGCCUUAUCAUAUUAGAUCAAUAUAAAUCCGAUUUUUUGAUAUAUAUGACUAUAUUCUUGAUCUAAUUGAAGAUAUUUAUCAAUUAAUAAAAUAUUUGUUUCCUUAUGUGAUAAUUGAUUAAUUAUUUUGAUUAAAUUGGUAAAUUGUUUUGCAAGAAAUCAUUAAAUAAAUCAAAUAUGGAUAAUUAUGUGAUUAAAUGUUAAUUUAGAUUAUUUGUUAUUUGAUCCUUGUGUUAUGAAAAGUUUCAUAUUUUCCCCUUUAGGUUUUAUAGUUUAAAUUUGAACUCAAAAGUUUUGUUGUUUUGAAAUUUAAAUAGUUGAAACCCUAAUGUUUUGAAAAAGGUUUCAAAACUUGCCCUCAAGUUUUGGAAUUUAAAUUUUGAUUAAUAGUUUAAUUUUGAUGUAUAUUUAAAUUCUAAACCCUAAUGUUUUGAAAUGUUUCAAAACUUGCCCUCAAGUUUUGGAAUUUAAAAGUUGAUUAAAAGUUUAAUUAGGAAUGUUAAAUUCUAAAACCCUAGUAUUGUUUUGAAAAAGUUCAAAUCACACCCUUAUGGUUUUAUUAAUUAAUUAAGGUGUAUAAUUAAAAGAGGUUUAAUAAAUCCAUAAAAGUUUUGGUUUACAAUUUAAUUGAAUUAAAAGUAUAAUUGUUAAAUUUGACCACCUAGUAUUUUAAAAGUGUAAAAUACACCCUAUACUAUAUAUAACAUUAAAAGUCUAACAUUAUAUAUAUGUAUGAGUAAAAGUCAGUCUUACCGUUAGUAGGCCUCAUUCACGAAGUUGGUCUAUAAGGGUGUUUAAGGAAAUUGCUUAUAAAAUGGCGAAUGAAUGGGUAUCCACUCUUACCCACCGUACUCUUGACUAGUGGAGGGUCGUUAGCCGAACGGGUAGGAUAGGACGAAACCUUCCAUUAUAAGUAUGGUAAAGUACAAAGGUAACUAAAUGUUUUCAUAAAAUUCCCAAUCUUAGUUACUUAGGCAAAAGUGAAUUGAUGCAAUUCCAUGAAAUUACACUUUGUGCCCUUGCGAAGACGUUAGUGGAGCGUGUGUGGUUUACCGGCACACUAAAUGGUUCUAAGCAAAGGUAGCAAAGGGUGACUCAAUGUUUGUCAUAGUUCGGUGGAGCGUGUGUGGUUUACCGGCACAUCGAAUAGGUGACUGUAACAUGUGAGGGCACCAUGUAAGUUUGCAUGGUUAUUCACACCCGCUUUGUGAUCCUCGGCAUCCCAGUCACAAACAAGAGGGGCAUAUCGAGAUUUAAACAUGCCAUUGAAAGUUCAAUGAAUCUCAAAGGAUCUAGGAGUUUUCAUAGAUUUAAAACUUAAAUUUCUUUUUCGUUUUUCAUGGUGGAAAUUAGUGAAUCGUCAUUCACUUACCUUCAAAUAUUCUGCAAUUAGGGUUACGGCAUCCCUCUCCCGAGUUGUAGAAUAUUGUGUUGGGUCCUAGCCUUAGUAUUUCAUUUGGGUGAUUUACUAAGGACUCAAUCAAUCAACUAACUUGAAUUUGUUUUUCUCCCGUUUUGUAGAUGUCAAAGUUCGACAACUAUGGUCUUCCCAAAUCCCGUGGAACAAGCAUUCCACAUGAAGAUGAUAUUCCACGAUUCGAUCGAGGAACAAGAAAUCAUGCUUCACUUCCUCCUCCUCCUCCAAUUAUUCUCCCUAACCCACAAGUUCAAAGGCUUGAAAAGUUCAAGAUCACUCAAGCCCUUUUGGCAAGUAAACAUAAAGAAGGAAAGUCGGUGUGUGCACACGUCCUAGGGAUGAAGUCACACAUUGAUAGGUUAAGAAUGUUGGGAUCCGUUGUCUGUGAGGAAAUGGCUGUUGAUUGGGUUCUUCAGUCACUUCCUAACUCAUAUAGUGAGUUCGUAAGAGAGUACUAUAUGAUGAACCGCGACGUGACCCUUAUAGAUCUCACCUAUAUGCUUAUUGCUGCUGAAUCAGCAAUGGUUUGGCGCAAUAGAAAAGCAAAGUUGAUUGGUGAAUCUGCCUUCAAGACCUCUAUGGAUAUAGACAAUGGCAACGAAAGACAUGCUAUGAUCGAAAAGUUUGAUCAUAAGAGAAAGGCAAUGUCUGAAGUAGUUCCAUGUCAUGUUCCAAAAGAGUCAAUUUGCUUUUAUUGCCAAGAGAAAGGGCAUUGGAGACGAAGCUGCCCCAUUUACCUAAGAGAUCUAAGAGAUGGGAGAGUCGAAACGUAUGGCUCUAAUAUAGGUAAAAUCCAUUAACUAACUCUUUUAAGCUUCUAUUCUAGAUUCUUAAUACAUAAUGUGAUAAGAUUACAAUUGAUGUUUUGUAGGAUCGAAGAAAAGAAAGGAAGCUUAAGGGAAGAAGUGAGCAGAAUCUAACCGUGAAGGAAUGGAUUUCGAUCGCAUUUCUCGAAGAUUAGAUUCUUGAGCUACUACUUAGAGUUAGAAUUAGAUUGCUAAGAAAGAUGUAUUAGCAUAGUUUUUCAAUGAAUUGCAUUGUAAGGACAAAUUUUUCCCCAAUAAAAUAAAUUUUGAUUUUAUAUUAUUUAUUUAUCCUUGCAAUGGCAUGCAUGAAAAUUGAUGUUUGAAGGUUUCUAAUAUUAGCAAUAAUGGAUUUGACUCUUAAUUAUGUUGUUUAUGGAAAUGUCGAGAAUUUACCAAAUAAGGAGAGUUUCUUAUCGCCUAUGUUUCAAUUGGACAGAAACUUGGAAUCAUGCAACUUGGUUGCACGAAGAAUGAGAAAUUUCAUAUUUGGAAAUUAGACUAAUUCAUUGACAAAGUGUCAAGUGAAGGACUAGGAGAUCGAGUACACAAAGUUGCGUGUUGAUCAAGUCCACCAUAAGAGUAACAAAGAUAUUCGUCAUGAUUUACUAAAGGUUUAGUAAAUAUGAUUAUACUUAUAAGAUUAAGUGUAAUUCUGAAUUGAUUGAAAAGGUUUAAAUCAAUAGCAGAACGAAUAAGAAGAAUCAAGUAGGCAGAAAGAUAAAAGUUUCUCCAUUCUAAGAAGAAGGGAGAGUACCUUUUAUGCUUUAUGAUAGGUCUUAAUGAUUAAGAACCAUAUCUCAAUUGAUCCUCUAAGUGAGUCUUAGUACAAUUGUAUGUCUAAGAAGAGGAAUCAAGAAUUGAAGAAAUGGUUAAAUCAAGAAGUCAAUCAUACUUCGUUCCAAAACAAGUCUUAGAGUUAAGAUUGUGACAUUGAGUGAUAAGUAUUAAGAAGGUUUAUAACAUUCAUUAAAUGUGGAAAGUUGUGAUGUCUUGGAUAAGACAAAGACCAACUAGGACCAAUUUAUGAAGUGUUUUGAUAAAAGCUACACUAACUCUUGAAUAUUUGUUUGUCAAGAAAUGGUUAUUGACAAGAGAAUCUUAUAUGUCAAGGAGUCAGUGGGAGUCUUAAUGGUCUUGAAAGGUUUCAAGAACAAAUCAAAUAAACCUUAUCGAUCAUCACUAGCACACGAGUUGAGGUUUACAACCUAUCGUGUUGACAUUAUUUUGAUUCUGUGCCAAUCCAAUCGAGUUAAUUAUGCAUGUGAGUUCUAUGAGUUCUCAUUUUGAACGCAUAAAAGGCAAAGCACCUUAAUCAAUGAAAGGUACAUUGAUAGGAAAGGGUGAGCUGCUUAACUACUUGGAAGACAUGGUGGGCAGCUGUGCUACCAUAAGGCAAGAAAUCAAGAUUAAGAAAGUUCGGUCCAUAUGAGUUUGAAUUUGUCGUAAACUUUGGUUUUAACAAAUUCACAUGGAUAGGAACACAUACACCGUUUAAAUCUAAGUGUCAUAAGAUUUCCUCCUUCAUGAAAAUGAUUGUGAGGAAAUGCUUUCACUAAGAAAGAUUUUAAGAAGAUAGUGAUUGUAAAAUUGCAUUCUCGAAUUCGAUUAUGGUUACGGUAUCCCUUUCCAUAAUUUGAAUUGUGAGGUUUGGCAAUUAGUCUUAAUUGUUUAGACACACAUAUGAACUAUCGAAGGCAAAGGUGUAUAAGUUCAAGAAGCCUUGAUAAAAGAUUAUCAAAGCACUAAGUAUUAGAAACAUGAACUUAAGAAAUUCAAUAAGUAUUGUUUUUCUGAAAGUUAAGAUGUUUAUGAAUACAUGUCGAAGCUAGUGGGAGCAUAAGUGUUAUGUUUUAUAAUAAUCAUCAUGAUAGUGGGAGCAUAAAUGUUAUGAUUGUAUGAUUAUUAAGGCACGUAUUGCAAGUUGGCAAUAUUAAUUAUAGAAAACAAGAGUUAUACCUUGCAAAGUCGUAAGGGUUGAAAAGUUGUUUUGCUAUAAUUAAGGGAGAGAAUAUUAUGCUUCAUUUCAAAUCUAAAGGAUUAGGUUGAGAAAUGUUAAUAAAUUUAGUCAAAGGUACAUAGUGUGUUCUUAAAAUUUCGAUUAUGAUUACGACAUUCCUCUUCACAAUUCGAAUUUUGAGAACAUAGCAAAUAAAACAUUAUGCGUCGUGUCCCAUACGCUUCGGGUAUAGGAUCGAUUGCAAAUGCUUUAAUGUUUGACCAUUCUAAAAUUUUCCAAAUGUCUAGCGCAUUUAGAGGGAAAAAGGACUAGAAUCGGUUUUGACUAAAAUAAUUAAACAACUAUCAAAGGACAAUCCAAAGUUCGACGAGGAUUGGUCGCUUGUGAGUAGUUGGAAGUAUAGUAUUGGAAAAUAUGGAAAUGUUUCCAUAUUGGAUGGACCAUAUCGACAUUAUUAUGAAUAGAUAAGAUUCUAUUAAGAAUGAGUUGUCAUAUGGAAAAUAUGGAAACGUGUCCAUAUUGGGAAUUGAAUAUUGAAAAUCUAUGUCUAGAUUAGAAACUUUUAUGCAAAAGGAUGUUCAAAGGAAUGUACUUUGAGUGAGAGACAUCAUAUCUAAGGAAUUGUCUUGUAACAAUCUCCGAUAGAGGACUUUGUAAUAUCAUUGGCAAUAGUCUUUGUGACUUUGGUGCAGUGACAUUACGAAAGGAUCAUUGCAUAAAAUGUUAGAAUCUAGCAUAUUCUAUAAGUAGCAAGAAUUUGAUAUUCUUUCACUUAUGAAAAAGGAUUUGGAGUUGUGAAAUGAGAAUGAUUGGAAAUGUGUUCAAUUUGAUCUAUUUCACAAAGUAAGAACCAUAGGUAAACAUUGUGUGCAUGCUAAGAGCAUGGGACAAGUGUAAUAAUUCAAGUAAGAAGUUGAUUACCCGAAACGACAAAUAAUGAGUAAUCGAUAUGGUGAUAAAUAAAAGGUGUUUUAUUUAUACUCAAAGGUUUGAGGCCAUAUGGGAUUAGUAUUAUUCUUGUGUUUCACUUUGCAUGUUUUGACUUCCUGAAUAAUUUAAUUGGUUAAGAACAGUCGAAUUAUUCGAACGGGCCACAGUCGUUCAUAUGUUGGAAGUAGGUAUGAAUGAAGACUGUCGUGAAUUGGUGUGUGGAUUGUCUAAAGAGUAUUAGACAUAAGCAAAUGUUUGCUGCAACGUUCAUGAGUGCUUAUGAAUAUGAUUUGAGCAUUGGAUUAAACCCACGCUCACUUGGAUCACUCCAUGAAUUGUAUCACGAGUGAUUGGUGAGACGAUAACAUCUUAUAUUCUUGAAACCGAGAUGUGUGAGUUGUAUCUUGCAAAUCGGUUGCACAUUGAUAAUAUGUAAACGCACUAGUAACUUGGUGUUAUAAAACAUAUUGUUGUGUGUGAUUCGGUGAGUGAGUGCAAGCAAGCAUUGUAUCAAAGUUUAUCCGUUCCUUUUAUCCAAAGUAGGAUAAAAGCGAUAUCUUUGGGCCCCUCGAUGAUUUAGUGAUGACAAACGUAAAUGCUCGGCCGGGCUAGGGCUAAUUUGAUUUGUUCAAUUAGUCAGUCGUCAUAAAUCGGGAAUCGAGAUAUAGUACAAAGAGAAUGAUUUGAAAUCAUGUCUCAUAUGAUAUCUAGAAUGGAGGAAUAUAUGAUCCCUUAUCUAAAGGACACGCGUAUCUGAUAGGAUCAGAGUUGACAGCGGCUUUGGAAAGCUACGAUUGCAGAUCAGGAUCUGAAGUCAUACGCAUAAUAGUUAUUAGACUUAUCCAAGUGGGAGACUGUUGGAUUAGUGUCUAAGUCCAUAACUAUUUUGGUAUGUACUUGACCCGAUGGUGCAUGGUCCUUUUGGGUUGCCUUCACCAAAGCAACUUGAUAGGAUGAAUUAUGGAGAGAAAGGAUUAAAUAUGAUUUAUUAAUAUAUUAUGAGAAUAAUAUAUUAAAGGAGAAAUCAUAUUGUUUAAUUAAUAUUAGUCAAUAAUUAAUUGGUAAUUAGUUUUGUGACUAAAAGAGAUUAAUUAAACUUAAGGGACUGCAAUUGUAAUUAUAAGAUAAUUGCAUUUGGGCCAUGGAUUGCCUUAUAUUAAGGAGUGGAAGAAUUCUAUGGGGAAGCCCAUAAGAAAUUGUCCAAGGCCUUAAGGAAAGGGGUCCAUGGGUUGCUUAGGGCUUAAGCAUCCAAUUUAGGGUUUCCUUGUUAGAUAACCCUAAUAGUCAAACUAUAUAUACAUCCCUUAUGACCCAAAAACGUGGCUAAGACUUAUUCUAGGGUUUCACACGUUUUAGGGCAGCCUCCUUCAUCUCUCCUCCUCAUCCUCUUGCUCUUGGUGUUUGUGAACCAUUAGAGGAGUGACAAUUGUGACUCUAAGCUUUCUAAAGUCAUUACAAGGAGGAAUUGUGAUUGUUAUUGCUACAUAACAAUCAAGUUAAUAUCUUAAACCCAUUCUUAUGUUAAUAUGAUUACUUGUAUGCUAGAAUUAGGGUUUAUAGUCUUGGAUAACUUGCAUGUACAAUAGAGAAACCUAGAUCCAAGCAUUAGGGUUUGUAUGAGCACAUAGGAUGUUCUUA
This 7874-nucleotide long non-coding RNA is filed under the name Lactuca sativa (garden lettuce). RNAcentral describes it as "long non-coding RNA (LSAT_LNC009947)". The record is from RNAcentral. Lineage: Eukaryota; Viridiplantae; Streptophyta; Magnoliopsida; Asterales; Asteraceae.